UACGUAGGGUGCGAGCGUUAAUCGGAAUUACUGGGCGUAAAGCGUGCGUAGGCGGUUUGCCGUGUCCUGUGUGAAAGCCCCGGGCUCAACCUGGGAAUUGCAUGGGAAACUGGCAGGCUUGAGUGUGGCAGAGGAGGGUGGAAUUCCGCGUGUAGCAGUGAAAUGCGUAGAGGUGCGGAGGAACACCGAUGGCGAAGGCAGCCCUCUGGGCCAACACUGACGCUCAGGCACGAAAGCGUGGGGAGCAAACAGG
RNAcentral lists this ribosomal RNA (253 nucleotides) under uncultured bacterium. Its description in RNAcentral is "partial 16S ribosomal RNA". It matches the Rfam family "Bacterial small subunit ribosomal RNA", at positions 524 to 776 of the family's 1533-position model. The record is from RNAcentral.